This 167-nucleotide ribosomal RNA is filed under the name uncultured Streptococcus sp. RNAcentral's name for it is "partial 16S ribosomal RNA". It matches the Rfam family "Bacterial small subunit ribosomal RNA", at positions 346 to 504 of the family's 1533-position model. Lineage: Bacteria; Bacillati; Bacillota; Bacilli; Lactobacillales; Streptococcaceae. The record is from RNAcentral.
AGGCAGCAGUAGGGAAUCUUCCACAAUGGGCGCAAGCCUGAUGGAGCAACACCGCGUGAGUGAGGAAGGGUUUCGGCUCGUAAAGCUCUGUUGUAAGAGAAGAACGUGUGUGAGAGUGGAAAGUUCACACAGUGACGGUAACUUACCAGAAAGGGACGGCUAACUAC